GUCUGCAGCUACCACAGUGGGAAUGCCCAACCUGCUGGUCUUAACACAUUUCACAGUGACUACACACAUCAAACAGCUACAGUCACAUCGUGCAAGUCCAGCAUUCCCCAGAACUGCAAGUUGACUGUACCUGCAGUGUACAACAAAUACACACACAUGCAUAGAAUCUGCCAAGUACGGUGGAAGUGAGAUCUACUGCUCAGGCUCACAGCAGCUGUGCUGGCAUGGUAAGUGUGAGGCUUUCCGAAAGCAUCAGACUUCACCUGUACACACACCGUGGAUGUGACCAAGGUUUCCGGAUACACAACAGCCCAGACAGAUUUAUUAGUGGUCACUGAACAUCUGGAAAUCCUGGACAAAAACAGGAAACGCUCAAGACUGCCGGGUUAACACUCCUGUCCUAAAAGCAAGACCUUCCUAACCCGAGCAACUGUCUUUAUGCGCACCAAAAAGGACAUUUCCUGAAAGACAAUGAAUCCUCCCUCCACACAGUCAUCUACCGAACAUCAGAGUAAGAGCCUGCAGGCCAUCUUCUCAGGGGGGAAACAAGGCAGAUGCAGAGCAUCUAAACUGCAAAAUUCAGUGCUUUGAGAAGCUUUUCCAGUUCUGUUUUUUCAACAGAAAAGUCAACUAAAGGGAAAAGGAAAAUAAAAAUUUGGCUAAAGUAAAAAUCUACUCUGAGUGAAAAGGAAAUUUUCCCUUCUUCUCUUGCACUCUUGCUGCCCAAGGAAUAACUUCACACACCACUAAAAGCCUUCUGUCUCAGGUAAAAUGCUAGGGGUGUAUAAGAAAUAUGCAGCAAUACCUUACCAAUAUUCUGCUAAAAGUAGUGGUGACGAAACAACCAUCACAACGUGGUCAGUGGUGAAAACGGGAGCUGUUGAAGGGCCAGAUGCUGUGCUGCCAUGUGCAAUGGUGUUGUGCCAAGGACCACGGCAGAGAGGCGAAGGAGGAGGAUUCGCUAUGGGAGGGAUGCUUGGGCAGCCUGUGGUCACCGAGGUGAAGUCUGCUCCUCUCAACAAGUCUCCCCAGGACCCACCUCCUUAUUCCUCACUCCUGGCAAUGUUAGAUGGCAACAAAAGGGACAAUCAAGCCACUUUCAAAGGACAACACUCCACAAAUACGUCUACACAUGGAUGUAUUCACUGCUGUGCACAAUGUCAGUGCCUACAGGUCGGAACACAUGUGGCCUCCAGAUACAGUUCAAGCCCUUGGGUGCCUGAAGCAGGGAGGAAAAACCCUUUUUGAGGUGGGCUCUCAUCUUCUUCUCAUUUGGUUGCCUUCUUUGUACUGUGCUGGAAGUUUUCUUUGCUUUAUCUGUAGUUAAUCCUGCUCACCAAGUUGCACAGAAUGUGAAAUUAUAAAUGUGACAGGCAUUUCUUGUUAUGACAUCUUUUGGAAAAGAAACACAACUUCUAGCCUUCUGCCAGAAAGAUUAUGUUCUUUUUCACUUAAGAAGAAUGCAUUUUUCAUAAGCAAGUAUUUUACAUUGCAAACUCUGGGCUCUUAUUCCAGACAAAUAGACAACUUUUUAAAAAGUUUCCUCCAGGAUCUCAGCUGGCUUUUAAGUCCAUGACUGUUAACCUAGAAACAAAGUACUUAGAGAACUGCAUACAAAGGCACAUUCACCAGGUCUGGGGCUGUUCUCACACUGAAAUAACCCUCUAGUAUGUUAAAAAAAUUACAAAUUCAUUCAUAGAAAUGAACUCGUUUGAGUAUAACACACAAUUAUAGAGAGCCCGUACUCAGUCUCAGAAGGCUGUGAUUGCUGUGGCUGUGUCAAGCAGGAAAGCCCUUUUCUCCUUUGCAAAUAUUCCUGGGAUUUCAGAAAUGCCUUCCAUUUCCAUAUGAAGAAAAAGCGAGUUAUUUUGCAGUUUUCUUUAAAUCAAAGAGCAGAGAAGCAGUCAGACAGCCCACAGGGCUGUGGUGAGGACUCUCACCCAGGAUGAAAGGGACUGAAGAUCAGAUUAGCUGUGCUUGCUUUGAUUUGCGAAGGGGACUGGGGCUGGGCUCUCAGGGGCAUGCAGCACUCAUUAGGCUGCUGACUUUUUCAGCCUUUUCAGUUGGAGAUUUUCAGUUUUAUACAGACAAUUAACUGUUCACCAUAUCAGGGACUUGAACCUAAUUAAUCUCCAUGGGAGGCUGAUGCCAAAACUAUCUGCUUUAGGCACUCAGACUGGUUAGGCACGACAAGUACAAGGUAGAUGGGGAAGGUAUUGCAGGGUGAUUCAGCUCACCCAAAAUCGGUGUCUAGACUCCUGGCAGUGCUCCUGGGCAGACCUGCUGUUUCUGAGGCUGCCUGGAGUGCUCAUAUCAGGAGCUACCUCUGCUUGCCCACCAUAGGCAACUCUGAAGGGUGACUACAUGAAGGGGGACCCACCAAGAACCAGCUAUCAGGAGCAGGCACAGUCUGUGUCACAUGUCCCACAGGUGCAAGCACAGGUCCCUGAUCCACCACGGGUUCAGAAAACCAAGCUUGCUUUGGUGGCAACUGCCUUUCCUUCUGCACAGUGGCCUAGGAGCAGGUACACACAUCAGCCCUUAGAGGGACAUGAUCCAGUCUUGAGGCUAGAAAUUGGGCUAAAAUAGAGGUGCCUUCCAUUCUUUAUAAAGAAGCAAUGUCAUUGCUGUAGAAAAACACAUGGGAGUGGAUGACCCCAGUUGGGUUCAAGGUAGUCACCUGAGAAAUAAAACCCUGUGGCUCUCUCCCUACACCCAGCACUGUCCUCCUCACUCCUUUCUCACCUGCUCCUUGCAUAUCUAUAUCAUCCUCACUGGGUCAAAGGAAGACCUCCAGGUUUUUCCAGCUCCAAAAACUAUCCUUAUUUAAAAGAUUUCUUAAGGUCCCCCUUUGUUCUUCUCUGCUUAUUGUCUUCUCCACUAAACAAGAAAAAUGAGAGUGCAGGAGAAGAAAAGUAUGAAUGGCAAUCUCCUUCUUUGGUGACAACCAACAGUAGGACAAGGGAUAAUGGGUUCAAACUGGAACACAAGAGGUUCCACUUAAAUUUGAGAAGAAACUUCUUCUCAGUGAGGGUGACAGACACUGGAACAGGCUGCCCAGGGGGGAUGUGGAGUCUCCUACUCUGGGGACAUUCAGAACCUGCCUGGACACAUUCCUGUGUAACCUCACCUAGGUGUUCCUGCUCCAGCAGGGCGAUUGGACUGGAUGAUCUUUCGAGGUCCCUUCCAAUCCCUAACAUUCUAUGAUUCUGUGAUUCUUAGAAGAACUUUAGCUUAGGUUGUUACUCUGGGGAGGAGAGAAAUGCACAAAAAAGAAAUUCUGGAAGAAAAUAAUUUUUACAUUUAUUUUUUCACUUUCUUUGUCAAAGUCAAAAUCAUUUUCAAGUCAAGAUGUUCUCUUCUACUCACCCAACUCACUGUCACCAGUCCUGCUGUAGAGCUCAGCCCCCGUAGCACACAGAAUUUUGUGGCCCAGGCACCUCAAAAGGGGAACGCACAAUCAGGGGUUAAAGCAUUUCUCGUAUUUUCCUGUAGCUGCUCUAAACUCUCUCUAUUGGCAGGUCUGCUGCCAGGAUGGCGGGGGAUACACUUGCAAAUGAGUGCUCUUGAGGCAAUACCCUAACAAAGGAAAUUUAACAGUGCACGAUUUUAGAUUUCUGUCACUCAAAAAGUCAGCAUUUCUUGUUGAGUUUUCAGGGAAUAACUUUAGGAUGAGUCACAACAUACAGCAAGUAAGGGUGAGUUUGCCUGCACAGAUUUUUCAGAUCCUCCCUUGACUCCAUGGUGGCCCUGGCGGCUUAUUGUUAAACCAUUUCCAGUGUUUUAUUUAUCAUAUUCUCUUUUAAACUCAUUAUUUCCCAGUUAAAUUUGAUAAUCUGUUUAAAGCAAAAUUAAUUUAUACUUCAGAGAGCUCAGAGAAGACAGAUAGAAGGAAGAUGCCCUGGAUGUAGAAGGAAAGGAUGAGACUUUCUCCUCCUGGGGCCAACAGGACCUUUUCACGAGCACAAGUUCUGGCCACAGAGUUCAAAGAGCUGCUGGAAGGCACACUUCAAAAGUCUGCUCAAAAACCAGCACAAGAAGAAUGGCCAAGCCCGAGGACCAGAUUGUGAGCCCCGGGGGCAGACUCUGCUGUCACAGCCCAUCAGCCUCCGCUGGGACCCUGCAGAAGAUACAGUAGGACACUCCAGCAGAGAUUUCAACAGUAACUGGCACCCUAGGGCAUACAUUUGGUGGCAAUGGAAAAUGCACUGGCUGAGACAAAGAAGGUACAACCCACACUCAACCCACUGUCCUGGUGUGUCCCCUUAGGGCUGCUGAUGGUCCCAGGGGAGCAGAACUAUUCAGGUCCUGUGACCUGCACCAGGCUGUGGCUACACACAAUCCAUCACGGAUACAAGCUAAACCCAUGUUCUCAUUUUUGUUUGAUUAUUUGGUGCAGGUGAUGGAGGAAGCUGUAUUUGCUUUCUUGUAGUUGUUACCAUUCCACAGCUCCUGUUCUCCAGACAAGAAUUGCCCACGUACAUCAAAGCUCCCCCUUGCUCCACAGUGCAGAGCCACAGAAGCAGCAGCGCACAGAGGGAUUUUCCUGCUCUGCCCUUCUAUACUUCGCUUCACACACACUGUAGAAGAGGUCUGUAAAAGAUUUAAAGCUAAGAGGUUUAGAGUAAUGUUUUAGAACAAUUAUGUAUCUGAAGGGUAUCCUGCAGCAAAAAGUUCCCAUGCACAGCAGUACAAAGAGAAGCCAGCUCCCUUCUUCAAAUCACUGCAGAGUACUGGUGGCAGAAGUAGAAGUGACAGCAAAAAGACCUGUGAUUUGGAGCAAAGAACAAAGGCAUCAGACAUCAGUCUGUGUAAGCCCGAGCUCCCAGCAGACAGACAGUUCGACACAUAUCCACGGCAGCUAGCUAAAAUUUCCAGGUGAAUUCCUAACUUUUUCCCCUCCAUAUUCUGUAACUUUUUAGACUUCCCCUUCCAAGCCAACUGGUUUACCCUACUGCAUGUCCCACCCCAGUUCUCCCCAAUCUGACCCAGAGCUGCAUUCAUAUAAAGAAUACCACUUUAUUCAGCCAGUUCUGUACCGCUCCUCCUUGUAACCACAGGUCUCCAAAGUCCUUAGCCAUUUGAAAAGCAGUUAAGAUGAUCAAUAUCCAACUUGAACAACCUAAACCUCAAUUAAGGACACUGAGCUUAUCUCCAGUUUCACUGCAAAUUGAUUCCCCUGAUAACUGGCCAAAGAGCUGAAUGGAGAAUUCAGAUUACCAACACAGUUCAAAUUAUGACAAAAAGAGAAAUACAGGGUUUUUUGCAACAACAAAAAGUUCACAGUGAACAGACCCUAGUCUCCUUUUUCAGAUCCAAAUAUUUUGAUCAACUUUCCAGUCUCUCCUCCAGCCUCUAUUCCAGUUCAGCUAAACAUUUCAUGAAGCAAAACAUUUUUUUGAUGCACUAGAAAUUUGUCCAGCACCCAUUGCUAAAGCCAGUUGGAACACAAUUUGGAAAAGGAGAACAUAAAUCAAACUGUAAAUUUGUGAUUUCCAAGAAAACCACACAGGAACCAGUAACAGCUACUGGUUUAGCUCCUGAACAGCAAAGUCUGAGGCCUUUUUCUCUUGAGAACUAUACUGGAAAAUCUGCUGAUACUCUUGCCUUCGAAGUGGAUCCUGAGCUAGAUAAUAUUUAUUUUAGUUGGAAAAGUAAUUAUUUUAUAGCAGCUUCUCAGAUGGAAAAAAAAUAUCUUAAAACUGAGCAGAACCACUUAGGUAACACACUGAUCAAGAUAAGAAAUAAUUAAUUAUACAACUCUUCUGAAAUAUUAUACAAACAGAGAAAAUCUGUCUAUCUGAAAAUCCAGAAGUAUGUGUCUUGGAACAAACCCAGAUGUACCAAAUGUCUAUUUUUAAACCCGGUGACUCAUGAAAAGAGAGCUGCAGUGAUUAGUUGCAGCAGCUUAAAGUGUUAAAUAAACAUAAACUAGGGCUGGAUCUGUGCAAACUGACCUCCAGAGCUGAGAAGUGACCCUCAGGCUUCAGAAGGACUUUGUACAUAGAAGGAGGAGAUCUGCUUUGGAAGAGCAGAGCCCAAGGAGUGCUCCAUGAUGUCAUUUCCAGAGAACUCUAAGGUGGCUUUGCCUAAGUUCUCAAAAAGUGCCUUGGUGUCUUGCUGUGUGUAACCUGCUAAUGUGAAAAUUUGGCCAGUAACAUCUGGAGGGGAUCAGUCCCACAGAAGAUAACGACCUGUGGCUGUGUGGGAACAAGCUGGAGUGAUGAUGAAGAAGAGGCACACAAGCCCUACACACAGUGCCCUGGUUCCCAUUUUGGGUGGGUGGGUUUGCUUGCAAGAGACAUGAAACGCUCACUUUUUUUAAUAAGCCGUUUUGCCGUGGUUGUGUGGUCUGUGGUCAGGUCACACCUCAUUUACGGAGCUUCACAACCACUGCUGCACUCGGCUGCCUGGACAUCUGAAAUGCCCAUUGCCCCAUUCCCACUCUGUCCUCAUAUUUCUUCCCUUUGAUGCUCUGCUCCCUUCUAGAUAUCUGGGCACAUCUACACCCAAGGGUAUUACUGCCAAGCAUGCACCCAAAUUGUGAGACUGAUAAACUAAACCUUCUGUUUUCUCUUGGGUAAAGGUAAGUGUAAAUUCAAGCCCCAAACCAAAUGGCAACAAGUCUUCAUGGAUUUGAAUUGUAGACCAGACAUAAGAUUCAAGGAUCAGGACACGUCUAUUGCUAAAUGUUUUGCACGAGACAUGGAUUUUAUCGAAUCAGAAUCACACACAUGCAGAUGAAUUCAGUGAAACAAAUGGCAUCGCAAUUACUGCCUGCGCAUUACACAGUAAUUGCCAGACGAAGGAUGGCAACAAAGCAGAGCCUCACAUAAAAUUAGAUUAAAAACUUUAGCUCCUAGUGCAUCAUACGCACUGUUUCCAUGGAUCUGUAAUGACCCAGGGAAAGAAUUUGCGGUGGAAAGCAAAGAGGAUUUCUCUGAAUUUGCAGCAAGCAGUUCAUUGCUGUUAAGGCUGCAAACACUCGGUGUAGACAGCUGACAUCUGAGUGCACAUCACCCCUGAACUCUGAUUUAUGUUUAAAGGCUUAAGAAGGAUUUAUCUACAGAGCUAGCUCAAUGAGCAUUAUGUGAAAGGGGGAUGAAUAAAGCAAGAAAGCCAUAAAUUUCCCUUUCAGUACAAAAAGCUGGACACUGAGUAGCCACGCAGCAGCCCAGAAUUGCGUAGAGCACAUCACACAUCAGGAUGAGUAUUGUGAUCCAUGUUAAAAAGGUUUUCUAAAUUCCUCAUUAGCAUUCCUUUAUAAUGGUUGGGUGUGUGGAGGAGGGAAGGUGUUUAUGUAUCAUAAAAGAAUAUCCAUUUUUAAGUCAUCAAGUGUUUUAAGUCCCUUCCUCACUCAAGCACCUGACAAGCAGAGAAAGAAGUUAGGACCUGGGGAGAGAGAUGCUGAUGCUCCUGCUCUCCCCUCAAGCAGACUCACUGCACACACUACCUGGAGCUGAUUCUGCUUUCUCCUGGCAUAAAAGGGAUCAAACUUCACAUACAGGUUUAAAUGUCCAAUGUGGCUACUGGCAACAGGAAGGUGCUGAAAGAGUUCAAGUGUUUUUUGGUUUUACUUUGGUUUUGUUUCAGGCUUUCUGUGGGUUUGGGGGUUCUUUGUUUGUUUGUUUGUUUGUUUUAACUCUGAAGAAUAUAAACAAACCGGCAGAAAUAACUGGAUAAAAAUCUAGGCUACAUAAUGCUGCUGCAAUUAUAUUUCCUAUUUAGGUUUCAUCUCCUAAUGAUAAGUUUGUACUAAGUCACUCUUGCCCCAGACUGUUUCCCCUGUGUUUCAGUAGUAUAUUAAAAAGGCAUUCUGAAAACAAA
Molecule: long non-coding RNA, 7827 nt
Organism: Columba livia (rock pigeon)
Lineage: Eukaryota; Metazoa; Chordata; Aves; Columbiformes; Columbidae
Exons: 4
Source: RefSeq, a predicted model, not a curated record